Molecule: long non-coding RNA, 150 nt
Organism: Mobula hypostoma (lesser devil ray)
Lineage: Eukaryota; Metazoa; Chordata; Chondrichthyes; Myliobatiformes; Myliobatidae
Exons: 3
Source: RefSeq, a predicted model, not a curated record
GAAGUAUCAUAAAUAAUUCCAAAGGUUACCGAUAAUCUUCCAGAGAAAAUGAAGAAAAAAAGUCAAGGUGAAACACAUUAAACAACGGGAAGUUCUGAUCUGGAAAGAUGGAGGAAGAAGAAGAGAAUGUUUCCACCAGGAAUUAGAUGA